This 157-nucleotide ribosomal RNA is filed under the name Termitomyces sp. SS1. Its description in RNAcentral is "5.8S ribosomal RNA". It matches the Rfam family "5.8S ribosomal RNA". Rfam says of the family: 5.8S ribosomal RNA (5.8S rRNA) is a component of the large subunit of the eukaryotic ribosome. The record is from RNAcentral. Lineage: Eukaryota; Fungi; Basidiomycota; Agaricomycetes; Agaricales; Lyophyllaceae.
AAAUACAACUUUCAGCAACGGAUCUCUUGGCUCUCGCAUCGAUGAAGAACGCAGCGAAAUGCGAUAAGUAAUGUGAAUUGCAGAAUUCAGUGAAUCAUCGAAUCUUUGAACGCACCUUGCGCUCCUUGGUAUUCCGAGGAGCAUGCCUGUUUGAGUG